AUUGAACGCUGGCGGCAGGCCUAACACAUGCAAGUCGAAUGGUAACAGGAAACAGCUUGCUGUUUCGCCGACGAGUGGCGGACGGGUGAGUAAUGUCUGGGAAACUGCCUGAUGGAGGGGGAUAACUACUGGAAACGGUAGCUAAUACCGCAUAACGUCGCAAGACCAAAGAGGGGGACCUUCGGGCCUCUUGCCAUCAGAUGUGCCCAGAUGGGAUUAGCUAGUAGGUGGGGUAACGGCUCACCUAGGCGACGAUCCCUAGCUGGUCUGAGAGGAUGACCAGCCACACGGGAACUGAGACCCGGUCCAGACCCCUACGGGAGGCAGCAGGGGGGAAUAUUGCACAAGGGGCGCAAGCCUGAUGCAGCCAUGCCGCGUGUAUGAAGAAGGCCUUCGGGUUGUAAAGUACUUUCAGGGGGGAGGAAGGGAGUAAAGUUAAUACCUUUGCCCAUUGACGUUACCCGCAGAAGAAGCACCGGCUAACCCCGU
This 489-nucleotide ribosomal RNA is filed under the name uncultured bacterium. RNAcentral describes it as "partial 16S ribosomal RNA". It matches the Rfam family "Bacterial small subunit ribosomal RNA", at positions 30 to 506 of the family's 1533-position model. The record is from RNAcentral.